This is a long non-coding RNA of Daphnia magna, 1633 nucleotides long. RefSeq lists it as uncharacterized. The record is from RefSeq and is a predicted model, not a curated record. The transcript is spliced from 2 exons. Lineage: Eukaryota; Metazoa; Arthropoda; Branchiopoda; Diplostraca; Daphniidae.
UUUGAAAAAUAAUACUUUUUUUUAACAGUAUCAUCAUUAUUUCAGAUAUGCGUCCAACAACCAAGAAUAUUGUGGCACACGAUGCCUCAAACAUCUUGAAUCGUGAAGCGAACUACUUCUGGUGUAGCCGAAAAGCGAAUCAAGAAAGUGGGACACAGACACAGUAUGUGAGAGCUUAGCUAUCUGCAUUAGCUGACCAAAUAUCGGAGAUACUGAUUUUUUUUUUAUUCGAAUGACCACCGAAUGAAAAACCAUCAACAAAACGAAGAAGAAAAAAGGAUUAUAGUCGGAUGCCCCAUAUCACCAACGAAGGUGAAACCCCAACGACUACGUUAGCGAUUAAAGCUGUUUUCCUUUUUUCGUUUAAUUCAGUAAACCAAGGAUAAUUUUUUUCCGGAUAAAGUUCUAUUCGUUUAUACAGCAGGUGCCAAAAAUAUCCGAACACUUCGUGUUUUCGGACCAUUUUAGCAUGGAUUCAAAUGACGGAGCGCGCUUAGCGCGAUUGAGAAAAAGGGGUAAAAAAUCCACCUAAGUCCAUGAAGAUAAUUUUGUGACCUAAUAAUAGACUAAGGUAUCUAAAAAAAAAUUUUUUUUAAUUUUUAUGACUUGUAGCCGCUCGCCGGCAUAUCAGUGCAUAAUUAUCCGAACGCGGGUUUUUCCGCCGUGCUUCCUUAUGGCACUACGUGUCUUCUUUAUUAUUUUUUUUAAAUAUACUAAAUAUAAUACUAUCAAAGACUAACUAGGCUUUUUAUGUGUUAAAAUACGUAAUCUACUCAUUCCGGCCACUUGUUAUGCUAAAACUUAAAUCCCUUUUUGGUAAUUAAUUUUCCCGUGGCCGGCUCUCCUUCUUUGUAAGGAAAAAUGAACUGCGUUGUAAAAGGGUGUCAUCAUACCCAGGGCCUAAGACAACGAAAAAUAUUGUGUUACAUUGAAAAAAGUUAACAGUAGGCUAUAUUUUUCCAACAAUUUAGACUGUCUUCUAUUUUAAACUCAAUAGAUUGUCAAACCCAGUCGCUUGUAUAAAUCAAGUUCAAAGUCGACGAGACGACUAUCAUGCUGUUGAGUCUCAUAACUCGAGAAAUACGAUUAAUGUAUAAACCGGUCCCACAAGUGCAAUCCAGCAUUGAAGAAUGCAGAAGUCAUUUUUGAUCUCGGCCCGUCGUUUUCUUUUAAAACAUCAUAGAGCUAUCUUUGCGCUUGGUGAAAUUAAGUGAUUUUAAACAGCAUGCGUUAUUUUAUUUAUUGGGUUCGCUUGGGGCUUAAAGUAAUUUCAAAGCGGGAGUUUUUGUAACUGUAUAUUUUACCACUAUAGAGAAUAUAAUUGGCUAUCGUUAGACGAUGUCAAACAAAUGUAUCUUUGUUGUUUGUUUUUCUUUUUUUUUUUGCCUUUUUUGCGUUGUUUUUUGUUUUGUUUUUUUGUUUUUUUCUAAUUUUUUUUGGUUUUUUUUUGCAUGCGGCACUUCAUUUUUGUAGUCAUCGAGAGAUGGUGGCAAAAUGAAAUCUUUGACGAAACUGCAUGUGAAACAAACAGAAUAAUAAAAAUGCUAACAAAUACCGGGGAAUAAAGAUAGACGCUAAAAAUGUUGCAUAAAUCAAGUAUUGAAAAGAUAUAGAGGGGUGAACACGAGAUUAU